GGAGAGGUGGCUGAGCGGUCGAAAGCGGCGGUCUUGAAAACCGUUGAAGGUUUGUAGCCUUCCCAGGGUUCGAAUCCCUGCCUCUCCGCCA
RNAcentral lists this transfer RNA (91 nucleotides) under Granulosicoccaceae sp. 1_MG-2023. Its description in RNAcentral is "tRNA-Ser". It matches the Rfam family "tRNA". From Rfam's summary of the family: Transfer RNA (tRNA) molecules are approximately 80 nucleotides in length. Lineage: Bacteria; Pseudomonadati; Pseudomonadota; Gammaproteobacteria; Chromatiales; Granulosicoccaceae. The record is from RNAcentral.